RNA transcript from Olea europaea var. sylvestris, 898 nucleotides. It is a transcript of the gene named NEP1-interacting protein 2-like, with no coding region annotated. NCBI's taxonomy places the organism in Eukaryota, Viridiplantae, Streptophyta, Magnoliopsida, Lamiales, Oleaceae. The transcript has 3 exons. The record is from RefSeq and is a predicted model, not a curated record.
AAGAUAAAACUAAAUGGCUUAUUUAAUUUCACUUAUCAUUUAAUGACACAUUAACGUCACUUAAACUGGGGUUGUGACCCCAGUGAGCUCAAAUAGCAUUACUCUAUGAUAAAUGAAUGGAAAUAGUUUUUGAUACGUUGAAAGCAUUAAUUUGUCAUUGAACAUUGGGAGAACGUUUCCGGUGGCGCUAAUAUGUGGUUUGGUGAAACCGUUAAUACCUUUCAGGUUGCACUAAUAUGCAGUCUCGUAAACGGGAAGAUAUUCAUGGAAUGGGUGAGUCCCGCCGUGCUGAAAGCUUAUCAAUGGCAGAUUAGCACUAUGGAAACUAGUUUGAGGGAGAUUUCGGACAUUUUUUAGGUCAAUACAAGUAGAGGAUUAUCUCAAGAUAUAAUUCAGAAGCUACCAAUUUACGAAUUCUAUUCCCCAAGGACGACAUCUUGUCACGAGACAAAUUGUUCAAUUUGCUUACAGGACUUUAAGAACAGAGAAUCUGCGAAGAUGCUACCAAGCUGUAGACAUUUCUUUCAUGUGCACUGCAUAGACGAAUGGCUUCUCCGGCAGGGAACCUGCCCAAUGUGUAGAAGAGAGAUCUGAAUGGAACUGGACGACGAGGAGAAAACUGAUGGUGCAAGUUUGUAAAAAAACCCGGAGAGAAGAAAUAGGAAAUAGGUCAGAUCCUAAUGAAAAUGUCCCAGUAAUGCUUCUAUCCUUAACUUUGUUGUAGAUAAAUUUUGAAACAAAGAACUUUGAUCUCUCGUAUCUAAUGUAAGAUAGAAGUAGAAUCGAUUCUCGAAUGACCAAAUCAUCAUAGUACAAGUGGAAGUGCUCUAUGAAUAUAUGUAGUACUUGUGAAUACUGCAAAUUGUUUCUUUUAAAUUCUGUAUCUCCUUUUUUAUCG